Molecule: ribosomal RNA, 460 nt
Filed under: uncultured bacterium
Lineage: Bacteria
Description: partial 16S ribosomal RNA
Rfam family: Bacterial small subunit ribosomal RNA
Source: RNAcentral
CCUACGGGGGGCUGCAGUGAGGAAUAUUGGUCAAUGAACGCAAGUCUGAACCAGCCAUGCCGCGUGCAGGAAGACGGCUCUAUGAGUUGUAAACUGCUUUUGUACGAGGGUAAACGCAGAUACGCGUAUCUGUCUGAAAGUAUCGUACGAAUAAGGAUCGGCUAACUCCGUGCCAGCAGCCGUGGUACUACGGAGGAUUCGAGCGUUAUCCGGAUUUGUUGGGUUUAAAGGGUGCGUAGGGUGGCGGAUAAGUUAGAGGUGAAAUGCCGAGGCUCAACCUCGGAAUUGCCUCUGAUACUGUUCGGCUAGAGAGUAGUUGCGGUAGGCGGAAUGUAUGGUGUAGCGGUGAAAUGCUUAGAGAUCAUACAGAACACCGAUUGCGAAGGCAGCUUACCAAGCUACUUCUGACGUUGAGGCACGAAAGCGUGGGGAGCAAACAGGAUUAGAUACCCCGGUAGUC